GACGAACGCUGGCGGCGUGCCUAAUACAUGCAAGUAGAACGCUGAAGGAGGAGCUUGCUUCUCUGGAUGAGUUGCGAACGGGUGAGUAACGCGUAGGUAACCUGCCUGGUAGCGGGGGAUAACUAUUGGAAACGAUAGCUAAUACCGCAUAAUAGUAGAUGUUGCAUGACAUUUGCUUAAAAGAUGCAAUUGCAUCACUACCAGAUGGACCUGCGUUGUAUUAGCUAGUUGGUGGGGUAACGGCUCACCAAGGCGACGAUACAUAGCCGACCUGAGAGGGUGAUCGGCCACACUGGGACUGAGACACGGCCCAGACUCCUACGGGAGGCAGCAGUAGGGAAUCUUCGGCAAUAGACGGAAGUCUGACCGAGCAACGCCGCGUGAGUGAAGAAGGUUUUCGGAUCGUAAAGCUCUGUUGUAAGAGGAGAACGAGUGUGGGAGUGGAAAGUUCACACUGUGACAGUAUCUUACCAGAAAGGGACGGCUAACUACGUG
Molecule: ribosomal RNA, 495 nt
Filed under: uncultured bacterium
Lineage: Bacteria
Description: partial 16S ribosomal RNA
Rfam family: Bacterial small subunit ribosomal RNA
Source: RNAcentral